AAUUUAGGAACAAAUUCACUUGCUCCCCACCCCAAUAAAAUUACUGCACCUUGACUCUUGUUGACUCUUUGACUUGAACCAUGGGCCGGGCCUCUUAUGUGUAGACAAGUUAAUUUUAAUCCUGAACCCAUAAUUAAUUUUGGUAAAAAAAAUUAAAAUUGAAUUAUGGUACAAAUAGUCAUAUUUUAUUGCUUAAUUCUAUGUGUUUUGAUUGCACUUUUUGGGUUGAUUUUAGUUAGUCAUUGCA
Molecule: unclassified non-coding RNA, 247 nt
Filed under: Hevea brasiliensis (rubber tree)
Lineage: Eukaryota; Viridiplantae; Streptophyta; Magnoliopsida; Malpighiales; Euphorbiaceae
Source: RNAcentral